CACCGUCUCUACACUUUCUUUAGGUUUUUUAUUAUUUAUACUAUAUUCUGUCAAAAAAGGCGAUGUCAUUGGAUUUUUACCUAAACAGUAUACACUUUAUUAAUAUUGUUACGGACUCUGUCCUUCACAUGUAAUACAGGUGUGGUAAACCGACGACGUUCUCAUGCAACAACAGAUGAUACGUGUUCAUGGGCCAAAGAGAGUGUCCGAGUACGGACGACGUGCCACCAGUAUACAACGGCGGCAUCGUCCACCACCACCUAGGCCCCGACCGUGGCGACAACCAUAAAUAAGGAAACCGGAAUCAUCACUGAGGAGGAAUUGAACUCAGUCAGGAGUCAAGAAAGCUACACCACCACCGAAGCACGAGAAGGAGCAGCACCCUCAUCUCGACACCAACCCGUCCAGUCAUUUCUUUAAUGUAUUUAUACUUGAUAACUACAACUAAGUCUUGGCCCGGGGCUGGUAUCACAGGUUUUUCACUUGUAGAUAUAAUUUGUCAACCGUGUAUUGUUUUAAUUCUAAUAAAAAAAC
Cinara cedri is the source of this 534-nucleotide non-coding RNA. NCBI's taxonomy places the organism in Eukaryota, Metazoa, Arthropoda, Insecta, Hemiptera, Aphididae. The record is from the annotation of a GenBank genome assembly.